This 375-nucleotide unclassified non-coding RNA is filed under the name uncultured Oligoflexales bacterium. RNAcentral describes it as "contains 16S-23S intergenic spacer region". The record is from RNAcentral. Lineage: Bacteria; Pseudomonadati; Bdellovibrionota; Oligoflexia; Oligoflexales.
UCCGGUUUGUCACCGGCAGUCCCAUUAGAGUGCCCAACUGAAUGUGGCAACUAAUGGCAAGGGUUGCGCUCGUUGCGGGACUUAACCCAACAUGUCACCACACGAGCUGACGACAGCCAUGCAGCACCUGUCUUCCUGUGGUAUUGCUACCAAAGCCGUAUCUCUACGGUUGUCAGGAGAUGUCAAACCCAGGUAAGGUUUUUCGCGUUGCUUCGAAUUAAACCACAUGAUCCACCGCUUGUGCGGGCCCCCGUCAAUUCCUUUGAGUUUUAGUCUUGCGACCGUACUUCCCAGGCGGGGUACUUAGUGCGUUAGCUCCGGUUCGGCGGGGGUCAAGACCCACCAAACCUAGUACCCAUCGUUUACAGCGUGGAC